UCUAAUAGGCAAACUUUUGUGAGCAAAGCUACAAACGGUUGGAAAAAGACCACAACAAAGCCUGUUAACCAAUCAAGGACACCGACAUCUGCUUCCCCAGGCAAUAUCAUUCAUACAGACAAACUUCACAUCCCAACCACUCCUAGUAAUGAUUCGUGCUCAGAACUUCCACUUCCAGUUUUCAUAAUAAUGGCAAUAGCAAAUUUUGUUUUCAUAACAUUAAUUGUUAUUUGGAUUAUUUGGAAAUUCUGCAAAAGGGACAAUCCAAACAAGAAAGAAGACAAAAUAUCAACAGACGGCAGCUAAUCUGCUUACAGAGUCGAUUUAUCAAAUGUCAAAUUACAAUCUGUACACGACACUGCGAACGAGGUGUACGAAACUGCUAAAUUCGAAUUUCCCGACGCACGUGCAGCUCGCGAGGAAGGAGUGGCAACUGAUCAUGACGAACACGACGAUGUACAUGAGACGGCAAUGCAGAACAAUACAGCUUACGGAACUACUUGAUACGUCAAUAUACUUCAGCAUGCAUUCAGCAACUGUACAAGCGUACGCUACUCAAUGCUAGAAAUCUUUUGCAUGGAUGACCGAAUUCGCUCAUGAGUUCUAAAUAUUAUGUAGCCAUGCAGUGAUUGUGGUUCUCAAC
Molecule: long non-coding RNA, 643 nt
Organism: Corticium candelabrum
Lineage: Eukaryota; Metazoa; Porifera; Homoscleromorpha; Homosclerophorida; Plakinidae
Exons: 4
Source: RefSeq, a predicted model, not a curated record